This 285-nucleotide unclassified non-coding RNA is filed under the name uncultured fungus. RNAcentral's name for it is "sequence contains ITS1". The record is from RNAcentral. Lineage: Eukaryota; Fungi.
UUAGUUUAUUUAAAUAUUUUCAGAUUGAACAUGUUUUUAAUGAUUUUGUUGUGGGCUACUGACGAGCACGGGCCAGAGAUCAGAGAUCCCCAGCGGCCUGUUUUAAGAGACGGGCCCGCCAAAGCAACGUGGUAAUUAUACAAAGGGUUGGAGAUCGGGCCUAGAAGACCCUAACUCAUUAAUGAUCCUUCCGCAGGUUCACCUUUAAAAGUUAGCAUAAUUUCAGAAGAGGGGUGGUGUUAACCGAUAAGAAAAGGAAAUUUGGUUAUGACAUACCUACGGAAA